Molecule: ribosomal RNA, 498 nt
Filed under: uncultured bacterium
Lineage: Bacteria
Description: partial 16S ribosomal RNA
Rfam family: Bacterial small subunit ribosomal RNA
Source: RNAcentral
ACUCAAAGGAAUAGACGGGGGCCCGCACAAGCGGUGGAGCAUGUGGUUUAAUUCGACGCAACGCGAAGAACCUUACCUGGGCUCGAACGGCUUCAGACCGGUGGUAGAAAUAUCGCCUUCCCCGCAAGGGGCUGGAGUCGAGGUGCUGCAUGGCUGUCGUCAGCUCGUGUCGUGAGAUGUUGGGUUAAGUCCCGCAACGAGCGCAACCCUUGUCCUGUGUUGCUAACCGCAAGGUGCACUCUCAGGAGACCGCCAGCGAUAAGUUGGAGGAAGGUGGGGAUGAUGUCAAGUCAUCAUGGCCUUUAUGUCCAGGGCUACACACGUGCUAAAAUGGACGGUACAGAGCGCUGCGAACCCGCGAGGGGAAGCUAAUCGCAAAAAACCGUUCUCAGUUCGGAUUGCAGGCUGCAACUCGCCUGCAUGAAGCUGGAAUCGCUAGUAAUGGCGUAUCAGAACGACGCCGUGAAUACGUUCCCGGGCCUUGUACACACCGCCCGU